Molecule: transfer RNA, 81 nt
Filed under: Apaloderma vittatum (bar-tailed trogon)
Lineage: Eukaryota; Metazoa; Chordata; Aves; Trogoniformes; Trogonidae
Rfam family: tRNA
About the family: Transfer RNA (tRNA) molecules are approximately 80 nucleotides in length. Their secondary structure includes four short double-helical elements and three loops (D, anti-codon, and T loops).
Source: Rfam by way of RNAcentral
GGCCGGUUAGCUCAGCGGUUUGAGUAUGAUGCUGACAACAAUGACAACACCGAGGUCGCGGGUUCGAUUCCCGCUCGGUCC